UGCAUAAAACGACAGAACCAUGUCACGUGGCGGUGGUAAUUAAAAAAGGGGGAGAGAUUCGGGGAUAUAGCGACGGUCAGAGUCGGAUCGAGUGUUCGCGGGCACCUGGGGCUUCGAUUUCACCUAAACAUCUCUCUUAUAUGUAGCUCAACUGAUCAACUUUUGCCUGAAACAUUUUUUAUCUACACUAUUGAAAAUACCUGCAAAAUAGUGGCAUAACUUAAGGAGCAAACCUUGUAUAUUUAUACAACUCUUUAAUAAUAUCUCCUUGGAUUUUCAGGCUCGUGUCAGUUCACUUAAAUAUAGGCUUGGAUUUUAUCUGGCCACUAAAACUAGAACAUGUUUGGGACGUCUUUUAGAAAUCUGCUAGAAGCUGAAGCCCCUGAGCCACGGCAACCGAAGUUCACGCCUGCAUCCGACCCUGGUGGUAGUACGCACACUCCUGAUCGCGCCAGGCUAAUUAGUCACAUGGGUUCUAAAUAGUCGCGCGAAUAAUCAAGAUUGGCAGAAGCACGAGUAUUCCGCGGAACAGUUUCAAGCAAGAUGCGCAAUCUCGGUGUUUAAUCAUGUGCAAAGCGACACUCUGUGCGAUAAUACACUGCGAGAGGAAAAUUUUCAUCUUGGAUACUCACCGAAAAUGGUAGGGGCGACGAAGCGUGAUUGCUUAGGGGUGGAGACAACGGUGCGUUCACCAGGGCAGCGGAAAUGGUGCUAGCCGGAGCCUUUCCGCCUCUGCGAAGUUUUUAAUCGCCAUUUUACUCAGCUCGGGAGAGAAACCGGUAGCUCCCUAAACGAUAAACAGGUGGAAUGCUUACGGUGGCACGGUGAUUGGAACAAGGCCCGAAGGUG
Molecule: long non-coding RNA, 849 nt
Organism: Hylaeus anthracinus
Lineage: Eukaryota; Metazoa; Arthropoda; Insecta; Hymenoptera; Colletidae
Exons: 4
Source: RefSeq, a predicted model, not a curated record